Molecule: long non-coding RNA, 226 nt
Organism: Rhinichthys klamathensis goyatoka
Lineage: Eukaryota; Metazoa; Chordata; Actinopteri; Cypriniformes; Leuciscidae
Exons: 2
Source: RefSeq, a predicted model, not a curated record
GGCAAAUGGUACAGAAGAAACAGGUUGCAGUGAACCCACAUGUUGCCACUCUUCCCUGCAAAGUGGUGUGUUAUCAGUGGAAUUUCUGAAAUCCACUCUUUGCAUCCUGUGAUGGAACAGCAUCUGGAGCUGAAUUAUUCUCCAUUUUUGAUCAUAAGUUUUUUGGACUCACUUGGGGCCUUGUUGUUUGGACAUGUUUGUCUGGUAAUGAAGUGGUGAAAAUUCA